Molecule: small RNA, 203 nt
Filed under: Pongo abelii (Sumatran orangutan)
Lineage: Eukaryota; Metazoa; Chordata; Mammalia; Primates; Hominidae
Description: processed transcript
Source: RNAcentral
CUGGCUCUCUCUCGUUAGAGGGAUGCCACCGCCCUGUCCUCACAUCCUCGGCGUUGCCUUCCCCUCCCUCUUUUCCACUGACGCCUUGAAAACCCUUAUUUGCGCAUUCACUCACGCUUGAGGUCACUCUCUGAAAGAGAACAAAGUAAUUUUCUGAAGGGAAGCUGCAGAAUAUGGAAAACAUAUAUUGGAGCUACAUGGAC